GCAGCUGGAUUUCUACAAUGAUCAAUCACCUCUGAUGUCUGUCAAACCUCCCCAACGCCAUCCGAGGUCCACCGCUGGCUGACCCUCCGCCAGAUUCCUCAUGAAACCAGAUUUCUCUGAUGGAUAAUCUUCAGACGAGCUUCCAUAUCAGGCAAAUCUCAGACGGGCUUCCCUAGCAACCGGACUCCUAUCGGACUUCACCAACAGAAAGUCUCCAUUCAAGCUUCUACAGCAGAUGACUCCCACCUGUAGCAUCAGCACCUAAGGCAUCCGACAACAGUAGACUCGACAGCAGCCUCAAAAAUAUUCGAGCUUCUCCUAGAUCG
RNAcentral lists this long non-coding RNA (326 nucleotides) under Elaeis guineensis (African oil palm). RNAcentral describes it as "long non-coding RNA (EGUI_LNC081325)". The record is from RNAcentral. Lineage: Eukaryota; Viridiplantae; Streptophyta; Magnoliopsida; Arecales; Arecaceae.